RNAcentral lists this ribosomal RNA (251 nucleotides) under uncultured bacterium. Its description in RNAcentral is "partial 16S ribosomal RNA". It matches the Rfam family "Bacterial small subunit ribosomal RNA", at positions 524 to 777 of the family's 1533-position model. The record is from RNAcentral.
UACGAAGGGGGCUAGCGUUGCUCGGAAUCACUGGGCGUAAAGGGUGCGUAGGCGGGUCUUUAAGUCAGGGUGAAAUCCUGGAGCUCAACUCCAGAACUGCCUUUGAUACUGAAGAUCUUGAGUUCGGAGAGGUGAGUGGAACUGCGAGUGUAGAGGUGAAAUUCGUAGAUAUUCGCAAGAACACCAGUGGCGAAGGCGGCUCACUGGCCCGAUACUGACGCUGAGGCACGAAAGCGUGGGAGCAAACAGGG